Molecule: small RNA, 154 nt
Filed under: Muricomes intestini
Lineage: Bacteria; Bacillati; Bacillota; Clostridia; Lachnospirales; Lachnospiraceae
Description: Clostridiales-1 RNA
Rfam family: Clostridiales-1 RNA
Source: RNAcentral
UGAUACCAGGGUCAAAAGGUCAUGCGUUUCAUGCUUGCAUGAAAAAGCAUGACUUUGGGACCCGAAAAACAUGAGAAAGUAGCCCGAGCAGGGCGGAUUUCGAAUGUUUUUAGGAUUGCGGGAGCACAAAGUGCGGAGCAAUCCGUAGGUAUCG